RNAcentral lists this ribosomal RNA (301 nucleotides) under uncultured bacterium. Its description in RNAcentral is "partial 16S ribosomal RNA". It matches the Rfam family "Bacterial small subunit ribosomal RNA", at positions 509 to 809 of the family's 1533-position model. The record is from RNAcentral.
CAGCAGCCGCGGUAAUACGGAGGGGGCUAGCGUUGUUCGGAAUUACUGGGCGUAAAGCGCACGUAGGCGGCUUUACAAGUCAGAGGUGAAAGCCUGGAGCUCAACUCCAGAAUUGCCUUUGAGACUGUAUCGCUUGAGCACGGGAGAGGUGAGUGGAAUUCCGAGUGUAGAGGUGAAAUUCGUAGAUAUUCGGAAGAACACCAGUGGCGAAGGCGGCUCACUGGACCGUUGUUGACGCUGAGGUGCGAAAGCGUGGGGAGCAAACAGGAUUAGAUACCCCAGUAGUCCCUGUCUCUUAUAA